Molecule: ribosomal RNA, 2091 nt
Filed under: Triticum aestivum (bread wheat)
Lineage: Eukaryota; Viridiplantae; Streptophyta; Magnoliopsida; Poales; Poaceae
Description: partial small subunit ribosomal RNA
Source: RNAcentral
AUGGCUGCUUGGCCGCGGGACCUGUGGAACAAUUGGUCCAUCCAAAUCCUGGUGCUCCUCAGCCUCGUGCUCCAAGUGGCCCUCUUUCUCUUCGCCGGGAUCCGCCGGCGUGGAGCGCACCCCGUGCUCCGCUUCCUGCUCUGGCUGGCGUACCAGCUGUCCGACUACACGGCGACCUACGCACUCGGCCACCUCUCCUUCAAGGGCGCGCCGCGUGAUCACCCGAUCGUGGCCUUCUGGGCGCCGUUCUUGCUGCUGCACCUGGGAGGCCCCGACAACAUCACCGCCUACUCCCUGGAGGACAACAAGCUCUGGAAGCGCCACCUGCUGCACGCCACCCUUCAGGUCUUGGGAGCCGUGUACGUGCUCUACGAGCACGUCGCGGACAAGGGGGCUUUGCUCCGGCUUGCCUCCGCCUUGAUGUUCACCGUCGGCGCCGUCAAGUACGGGGAGAAGACAUGGGCGCUCAUGCGCGGCAAUCUCGACACCAUCCGAGGCUCCGUCAAGAAGCAGCCACCCGCCAUGCACCGGCAUUUCCACCCUCGCGACACAGUGUUCAACAAGGAAGAGCUGGACGAGGAAUCCCUGGUGCGACGAGCUCACUCGCUGUUCCACAUCUGCAAGCGCGCCAUAGUCGAUUAUCCAGUGAUCGAAGAUGACGCGGCGGAUGGAGAAGAACGCACCACCAAAAUGCUGUUCCGGGUGAAGCUAUGGCGGCUGAUGGAAACCGAGCUGUCUCUCAUGUAUGACAUGUUGUACACCAAGGCGCCGGUUAUCCACACCUGGUUCGGCUACUCGGUACGUAUUUUCUCGCCGUUCGCCAUUGGCGCCUCGCUCCUCUUGUUUAACCUCGUCGGCAAGCACGCACACCGCGGAGCUGACGUGAAUAUCACCUACGUCCUGUAUGGUGGCGCCUUGCUCAUGGAGACCAUGUCGCUGCUGAACGCGCUAGGCUCCUCCUGGACGUUCGCCUUCCUGAGCACCACUAAAUGGCGAUGGCUUCGGUACACGGCUCUGUGCAACGAGAGGUGGGACCAAUUUAGGCGUCUAGUCGCAUAUCUUCACCAUGUCGUGAGUGUUGGAGGAGGAAGCCGGUACAGAUCAAGAAGGUGGUCACGUACCAUGGGGCAGUACAACAUGCUGCACUUCUGCACACGCUCUGGUAGUGCAUUCACCAGGCCUCUGCUGGGCAGAUUGUCCAAAAUAGUGGGGCUGGGACUCAACGAGUGGGAGCAUUACUCAUGGGACAUCGAGAUGCCCAGCCAUGUCAAGGAUCGAAUCACCCAACAUAUGCGCAACAUGUACAUGGAAGGGGAAGGGAUUAACUCGCUGGGAAUCCUCAGGACAAGGUGGGGCGAGGAACCACUGCUUCGCCAGGGCUUACUCCAAGGCAUACUCAAGGACUCUCUUGGUGUCGAAUUCCAGGAGUGCAUCAUCAUCUGGCACCUCGGUACCGACGUCUUCCUCGUCAAGAGCAAGCGGGCGGCCGAGGAGGAGGCGUCACUCGACGUCGAGGCGAUCAAGGUGAUCUCCAACUACAUGAUGUUCCUCCUCGUGCAACAGCCUGACAUGCUACCAGGGCUCUCGCAGAAUAGGCUGUAUCAACGGACCUGCGAAAACCUAGUCAACAUUCCUAGCCAUAGGCGCCAAAGCACGGGCAUCUGUGCUAAGCUCAAGAAUCUACUCCGCCUGCACGAUGAUCCUGGUUCUAGUGCCAGGGUCGCCGACAGAGAGGAGCUUGCAAAGAUCCUGUAUGAUGAGUAUAAGAGCAAAGGUUUCAGCCAUGAUGCUCCUCGUCUCCCCUAUGUAGCUAAGCUUGCAAAGCAGCUGCUGACGAUGGAGGUAGAUGGCACGGCUGACUCGGUGAAACUUGUCCUUGAUGUGUGGACGGACAUUCUUUUCUACGCCAGCAACAAAUGCAGCAGGAAGGCCCAUGCCGAGAAGCUCAGCAGUGGCGGUGAGUUGACGACCAUCCUCUGGCUUAUGGCAGAACAUUUCUACCAAUUGUAUUGUGAGAAAAAUAUGAAAGAAGAGAAGGAUCAGUUAGCUUUACAAGGACAGGCAUUAGCUAAUAUUCAGGCAGGGAGAUGA